AUUUAUAUAAUAUAAAAGAUUAUAUUUAACUUCCAAUUAAAAAAUCUAGUCAAUCUAGUAUAAAUA
RNAcentral lists this transfer RNA (66 nucleotides) under Philus pallescens. RNAcentral's name for it is "tRNA-Gly". Lineage: Eukaryota; Metazoa; Arthropoda; Insecta; Coleoptera; Vesperidae. The record is from RNAcentral.